GAAAGUGGAAAUGUGGAGAUCGUG
RNAcentral lists this non-coding RNA (24 nucleotides) under Arabidopsis thaliana (thale cress). The record is from RNAcentral. Lineage: Eukaryota; Viridiplantae; Streptophyta; Magnoliopsida; Brassicales; Brassicaceae.